RNAcentral lists this ribosomal RNA (255 nucleotides) under uncultured bacterium. RNAcentral describes it as "partial 16S ribosomal RNA". It matches the Rfam family "Bacterial small subunit ribosomal RNA", at positions 524 to 777 of the family's 1533-position model. The record is from RNAcentral.
UACGAGGGGGGCAAGCGUUGUUCGGAAUUAUUGGGCGUAAAGGGCGCGUAGGCGGUGCGGUAAGUCUUCUGUGAAAUCUCCGGGCUCAACUCGGAGCCUGCAGAGGAAACUGCCGUGCUGGAGUGUGGGAGAGGAGAGUGGAAUUCCCGGGUGUAGCGGUGAAAUGCGUAGAUAUCGGGAGGAACACCCGUGGCGAAAGCGGCUCUCUGGACCACUACUGACGCUGAGGCGCGAAAGCUAGGGGAGCAAACAGGG